CCUACGGGUGGCAGCAGUGGGGGAUAUUGCACAAUGGGGGGAACCCUGAUGCAGCGACGCCGCGUGGGUGAAGAAGCGCCUCGGCGCGUAAAGCCCUGUCAGCAGGGAAGAAAAUGACGGUACCUGAAGAAGAAGCCCCGGCUAACUACGUGCCGGCAGCCGCGGUAAUACGUAGGGGGCAAGCGUUAUCCGGAUUUACGGGGUGUAAAGGGGGCGCAGACGGCGAUGCAAGCCAGGAGUGAAAGCCCGGGGGCCAACCCCGGGACUGCGCUUGAAACUGCGUGGCUGGAGUGCAGGAGGGGCAGGCGGAAUGCGUGGUGUAGCGGUGAAAUGCGUAGAUAUCAGGAGGAACACCGGUGGCGAAGGCGGCCUGCUGGACUGCAACUGACGUUGAGGCCCGAAAGCGUGGGGAGCAAACAGGAUUAGAUACCCGAGUAGUC
RNAcentral lists this ribosomal RNA (440 nucleotides) under uncultured bacterium. RNAcentral's name for it is "partial 16S ribosomal RNA". It matches the Rfam family "Bacterial small subunit ribosomal RNA", at positions 338 to 795 of the family's 1533-position model. The record is from RNAcentral.